AGUGAACGCUGGCGGUAUGCCUAACACAUGCAAGUCGAACGGCAGCACAGUAAGAGCUUGCUCUUACGGGUGGCGAGUGGCGGACGGGUGAGGAAUACAUCGGAAUCUACUUUUUCGUGGGGGAUAACGUAGGGAAACUUACGCUAAUACCGCAUACGACCUACGGGUGAAAUCAGGGGAUCUUCGGACCUUGCGCGAUUGAAUGAGCCGAUGUCGGAUUAGCUAGUUGGCGGGGUAAAGGCCCACCAAGGCGACGAUCCGUAGCUGGUCUGAGAGGAUGAUCAGCCACACUGGAACUGAGACACGGUCCAGACUCCUACGGGAGGCAGCAGUGGGGAAUAUUGGACAAUGGGCGCAAGCCUGAUCCAGCCAUACCGCGUGGGUGAAGAAGGCCUUCGGGUUGUAAAGCCCUUUUGUUGGGAAAGAAAAGCAGCAGGUUAAUACCCCGCUGUUCUGACGGUACCCAAAGAAUAAGCACCGGCUAACUUCGUG
This 492-nucleotide ribosomal RNA is filed under the name uncultured bacterium. Its description in RNAcentral is "partial 16S ribosomal RNA". It matches the Rfam family "Bacterial small subunit ribosomal RNA", at positions 29 to 507 of the family's 1533-position model. The record is from RNAcentral.